This 402-nucleotide ribosomal RNA is filed under the name uncultured bacterium. RNAcentral's name for it is "bacterial SSU rRNA". It matches the Rfam family "Bacterial small subunit ribosomal RNA", at positions 355 to 754 of the family's 1533-position model. The record is from RNAcentral.
UAAGGAAUAUUGGACAAUGGAGGCAACUCUGAUCCAGCCAUGCCGCGUGAAGGAUUAAGGCCCUAUGGGUUGUAAACUUCUUUUAGACGGGACAAAACCCCUUUACGUGUAAAGGGUUGAUGGUACUGUCAGAAUAAGCAUCGGCUAACUUCGUGCCAGCAGCCGCGGUAAUACGAAGGAUGCAAGCGUUAUCCGGAAUUAUUGGGUUUAAAGGGUGCGUAGGCGGACUAAUAAGUCAGUGGUGAAAGCCUGCAGCUUAACUGCAGAAUUGCCGUUGAUACUGUUAGUCUUGAGUACAGUUGAGGUAGGCGGAAUGUGUCAUGUAGCGGUGAAAUGCUUAGAUAUGACACAGAACACCGAUUGCGAAGGCAGCUUGCUAAGCUGUAACUGACGCUGAGGCAC